Myotis daubentonii (Daubenton's bat) is the source of this 122-nucleotide long non-coding RNA. RefSeq lists it as uncharacterized. The record is from RefSeq and is a predicted model, not a curated record. The transcript has 2 exons. NCBI's taxonomy places the organism in Eukaryota, Metazoa, Chordata, Mammalia, Chiroptera, Vespertilionidae.
AGUUCUCCUUCCCAGGUAACCACUGGUCUACUUCCUGUUAUUACAGAUGCAUUUGUAUUUCAUCUAAAUGGAAUCAUCCUAUCUUGCUGAUUACAAAUAAAGCUGCUGUGAAUGUUCAUGAC